This 1440-nucleotide ribosomal RNA is filed under the name metagenome. RNAcentral's name for it is "bacterial LSU rRNA". It matches the Rfam family "Bacterial large subunit ribosomal RNA", at positions 1452 to 2925 of the family's 2925-position model. The record is from RNAcentral.
AAAUUCUUGAUAAAUUGCGGAGUGGUAGUUUGAGCGGAUUCAUGGUUAUAUCCGUUUAACUAGUUAGAUUUCGAUCGAGCUAGGAGUACGAGUUGUAGGCUUUCGAGCCCGCGACGAGUCAACAAGUCCAUUCUGCCCAGAAAAGUUUAUUAGAUUAUGUUUUAUGCCGCCCGUACCGUAAACCAUUAAAGGUACUCAGGUCGAGUAGACCAAGGCGUACGAGAGAAUCUUGGUUAAGGAACUCGGCAAUAUAGCGACCGUAACUUCGGGAUAAGGUCUGCCUAGCGUAAAAACUAGGUUGCAACAAAAGAGUCCAGGCGACUGUUUAUUUAAAACACAGGUCUCUGCUAACACAAAAGUGGAUGUAUAGGGGCUGACGCCUGCCCAGUGCCGGAAGGUUAAGGGGAUAAGUUAACGCUUUGAACUGAAGCCCCGGUGAACGGCGGCCUUAACGAUUAGGGUCCUAAGGUAGCGAAAUUCCCUGUCGGGUAAGUUCCGACCCGCACGAAUGGCGUAACGAUCUGGACACUGUCUCAACCAAGAUCUCGGUGAAAGUGCAUUGGCGGUAAAGAUGCCGUCUGUCCGCACCAGGACGAAAAGACCCCGUGGAGCUUUACUACAAGUUUACAUUGAAUCGGGUUACAACAUGUGUAGAAUAGGUGGGAGCCUUCGAAGCAGAUGCGCCAGCAUUUGUGGAGGCAUCAGUGAAAUACCACCCUUGUUGUGAUCUUGUUCUUACCCUUACCGUUAUCCGGUAAGGGGACCGUGUAUGCUGGGUAGUUUAACUGGGGCGGUUGCCUCCCAAAGAGUAGCGGAGGCGUUCAAAGGUUGGCUAACUACGGAUGGAAAUCGUAGUAAUAGUGUAAACGCAUAAGCCAGCUUGACUGUGAGACUUACAAGUCAAACAGGGACGAAAGUCGGAGUUAGUUGUCCUCUGUUUUGUAAUUUAUUACAUUAGCGCGUGGUAGCGGCAGAGCUUACGGAUAAAAGUUACCCCGGGGAUAACAGGCUUAUAGCGCCCAAUAGUUCACAUUGACGGCGCUGUUUGGCAUCUCGAUGUCGGCUCAUCACAUCCUGGAGGAGGAGCCUCUUCCAAGGGUUCGGCUGUUCGCCGAUUAAAGUGGUACGCGAGCUGGGUUAAGAACCUCGUAAGACAGUUCGGUUUAUAUCCGGUGUGGACGAGUAGGAAUUGUGAGAGUAGCUGCCCCUAGUACGAGAGGACCGGGGUGGACGAACCUCUGGUGUGUCAGUUGUUGUACCAACAGCAUUGCUGAGUAGCUAAGUUCGGACCGGAUAAGUGCUGAAAGCAUAUUAAGCACGAAGCCGCACUCAAGAUUACAGUUCCCUAGGAGAUCCCUGAAAGACCAUCAGGUUGAUAGGUAUGCGGUGAAAGCAUGGCAACAUGUUGAGCCUACAUAUACUAGUAGAUCCAUUGAGCUA